AUCUGGUAAAGUCUUGCACAAGCAGUUGAUUUGUCCUUACAUUACUGUACUUACAUGUUAUCGUAUAUUCACUUCGAGGCAUUGUUGUGUUUUUUCAUGGCAUUGUGGCUGGUGGCGACCAAAUUUUCUCAAGCUAAGAGGUUGUUGGCGCAGUACGGGUUCUUGGUCUCCGUGAUCUCCAUAGUGACUUUGUUCAUAUACCUACUUGCAUCAUCAUCGUCUGGUAAUGCAGAAGGCGGCAAGAAGCAGCGCUAAUCAUUUGAGAAGACAACAACUGCGCGUCUGUUUUGCAACCUACGUACUCCAAAACUGUAUUUCCCUACUUUUGUUUAUGCAGGUUCUACAUACCCUACUGCACUACAAACUUUCAUCACAUUGUGAAUAUAAACCCACAUGUGAUGCUUCCCGUACCCAGAAAUGACCAAACUUCUACUGUUAUGCAAACACUAAUAAUAGUGUCUUCUCUACUAUUCUGCACAUACACCCACUAAUCUUUUCCGAACUUCA
This is a long non-coding RNA of Rhododendron vialii, 507 nucleotides long. RefSeq lists it as uncharacterized. The record is from RefSeq and is a predicted model, not a curated record. The transcript is spliced from 2 exons. Lineage: Eukaryota; Viridiplantae; Streptophyta; Magnoliopsida; Ericales; Ericaceae.